CAUCUGGCAGCCUGGAAAAGCUCCAGUGGAGGAGAAGUGAACUCAGGUAUGCUCAAAGAGGACAGAGCAGAUUGGACUCCAGCUCCCAGAUGCUGGAGGGUGCUUGCUGGACCCACAGAUGGAGAAGCUGGCAUGGGACGUCCUGGUCUGAGCUGCAGGAGGAGGGCAAUGCCACUCCUGGCCUUCCCCUCAUGGCCUGCUCUGACCCAUGUAAUGGACCUGAAACAUAAUUUGGAAAACCGGCAUGGUAUCACCAGAACUGGACUGGCCGCUGCUUCCAGCAAGGGCAGAGCCACCUUCCUGCCCCUCAGUACAGACCAGGACCACUGGGGCCACCAGAGAUCACUCACGGGAGGGCUGAGACCCAGCCAGCCUGCCAUGGUUGACAGGUAUCCCGGGCUGGGCUAGCUCUGUGCAGGGCAGUCAGGCCUUGCUCUGCAGGUGGGGUUUCCUCGUGCUUAGGAACCCCUGAGCUGACUGGCCUGACACACCGGCUACCUUCUUGAACCUGCCACCUCUUGCUCUUGAAGGGGUCCCCCCGCCCCCACCCCAGGCUGGCUGGGCUCUCUCUAGGCCAGUGUCAAUCUCCUGAACUGAAUGAGUGAGUGAGAGCCACCCACUGUACAGGCAGGAGAGAGGCCUGAAUUUGCCCAGGGCAGCCAGGGGCUGGGCUCUCCCAGGCACCUCCAGCAUCUAGCUGCUCUGCCCACAUGGAUCUCGCAGCCCCAGCUUGGCCACCACGUCCUGCCCAGGCCCUGCCCUACCCUCGCCAGCACUCCCCACCCCAUCCAGGAUGCUCAACUCAGCAGUCCCUUCCUGGCCUCUCCCUGCCUCCCCAGAGACCCCCUGGGCAGGGGCCCGGCCUCUCUCUGCCAGUGGUGCCAGGCCCCCUGCUCCUGCCCUCUUCUG
RNAcentral lists this long non-coding RNA (909 nucleotides) under Equus asinus (donkey). Its description in RNAcentral is "lncRNA (ENSEASG00005024576.1)". Lineage: Eukaryota; Metazoa; Chordata; Mammalia; Perissodactyla; Equidae. The record is from RNAcentral.